ACGGAGGAUCCAAGCGUUAUCCGGAAUUACUGGGCGUAAAGAGUUGCGUAGGUGGCAUGGUAAGCAAAUAGUGAAAGCGUACGGCUCAACCGUAUAUCCAUUAUUUGAACUGCCAAGCUUGAGGACGAGAGAGGUACCUGGAAUUCCCAGUGUAGGAGUGAAAUCCGUAGAUAUUGGGAGGAACACCGAUGGCGUAAGCAGGGUACUGGCUCGUUCCUGACACUCAGGCACGAAAGCGUGGGGAGCAAACGGGA
Molecule: ribosomal RNA, 254 nt
Filed under: uncultured prokaryote
Description: partial 16S ribosomal RNA
Rfam family: Bacterial small subunit ribosomal RNA
Source: RNAcentral